RNAcentral lists this transfer RNA (72 nucleotides) under Bacteroidales bacterium. Its description in RNAcentral is "tRNA-Met". It matches the Rfam family "tRNA". Rfam says of the family: Transfer RNA (tRNA) molecules are approximately 80 nucleotides in length. Their secondary structure includes four short double-helical elements and three loops (D, anti-codon, and T loops). The record is from RNAcentral. RNAcentral also lists the same sequence under 1 other name. Lineage: Bacteria; Pseudomonadati; Bacteroidota; Bacteroidia; Bacteroidales.
UGCGGGGUGGAGCAGUGGUAGCUCGUUGGGCUCAUAACCCAAAGGUCAUUGGUUCGAUCCCAAUCCCCGCUA